RNAcentral lists this ribosomal RNA (420 nucleotides) under uncultured cyanobacterium. RNAcentral describes it as "bacterial SSU rRNA". It matches the Rfam family "Bacterial small subunit ribosomal RNA", at positions 358 to 795 of the family's 1533-position model. The record is from RNAcentral. Lineage: Bacteria; Bacillati; Cyanobacteriota.
GGAAUUUUCCGCAAUGGGCGAAAGCCUGACGGAGCAACGCCGCGUGAGUGAAGAAGUCUCUAGGGAUGUAAAGCUCUGUCAAGAGGGAAGAUUAUGACGGUACCUCUAAAGGAAGCCCCGGCUAAUUACGUGCCAGCAGCCGCGGUAAUACGUAAGGGGCGAGCGUUAUCCGGAAUUAUUGGGCGUAAAGCGUCCGCAGGCGGCCCUUCAAGUCUGCUGUUAAAAAGUGGAGCUUAACUCCAUCAUGGCAGUGGAAACUGUUGGGCUUGAGUGUGGUAGGGGCAGAGGGAAUUCCCGGUGUAGCGGUGAAAUGCGUAGAUAUCGGGAAGAACACCAGUGGCGAAGGCGCUCUGCUGGGCCAUCACUGACGCUCAUGGACGAAAGCCAGGGGAGCGAAAGGGAUUAGAUACCCCAGUAGUC